UUUUUAUUUUUACAAUUAGAGCAAGGACAUCUUAACAUACCUGUUUUUGCUUCCGGUUGUCGGUGAACUAACCCCAUGAAUUCGGUUAUACCUUGUUGGUAUUCUUCCGUAAGCAAUCUCGUGUUCGGAUCCAAAUGAGGUCGAUCGAUCCAAGAACGAAAAUAAUUUGAAGAAGACAUGUUUUUUAUGAAUCAAAUUCGUGUGUAAAGAAAGUGAGAGGGAAGAUGAAGAUAUGGUGUGAAUGAAGAGGAAGAGGGGUGCUUGUAUUUAUAGUUGAAAUCCUGCCGACGGUCCGAAGAAAUUCCGACGGAAUUCCGAUGCAAACGGCUAGUUCGUCGGAAUUUCCUCGGAAUUUUUAAAAUCCCCCCAACGGCUCUCCAACGGCUCUCUAACGUUUAUAAUAUUUCCUCGGAAUUCAUCGGUUUUUUCCGAGGAAUACUAGUUUCCUCGGUAUUCCGUCGGAAUAUUCCGACGAAAUGAAUUUUCCUCGGAAUUCCGUCGGAAUAUUCCGACGGAAUUCCGAGGAAGAAAAAUUUUGUGUUUCCUCGGAAUUGCCUCGGAAAUGCCUCGGUAUAUUCCGAGGAAUUCAUUUUCCGUCGGAACGUCCGUCAGAAUACCGCUGUUUUCUUGUAGUGGUGGUACCAGAUCCAUCAGUAAUUUAGUUCUGAAAUCAUCACAGAUUUGAUAAAAAUGAAAUAUCUGUCAAAGAAAGUACAUGGUUCAACAAGUUAAUCGAUCGGAUAGGUCUUGAAGGCGUCAUCCUUGUUGGAGACACCAACAAGAAGGUCUGCCACACCCCAACCUUGAAACACGGUACUCAUACACUUAAACUAGACUUCAUCUCGAUAAUAAUGUAGCUGUGAAAUAUCACACUGUGACCGCGUCAAAUGGCUUCGAUAAUCAUGGCCUGGAUGUUUCCAGUGCACUCCACCGUAUGUUGUCUCUGGGAUCAUUUGUCAAAAGUCACGCUUUCUAGAAGUUAUUCUUCUUCACGUCUCCCAUUCCCAGCUUCUUGAAUCGUUCCUUGGCUGGCCUUGUAAUCCUCUUCUUGUACUUGUAAAGAGUGGAAGGUCUUUGGGCCACAAGAGUAUCAGAAAUCAUAGAGAAGCAGGAACAAACCUGAGUUGUGUAAACCAUGUGUGAUGACAAAGAAAGACCCUCAAGCUUUUGCUGUGAAAUAUACGCAUGUAGCAAAAUCUUGGCAUUGGCCUCCUCCAGAGUUUCAAUGAACAGAAUCGGGACACAAUCCAACACUUUUGCCAGUUCCAUCUUCUCAUCUUGUCGAACAGACACAUACUCAGGAUACAAUCCAAAAUAGCUUUCCAAUUUUAUUUUAAUUACAUACUAGAUAUUGACAAAGCGCGGGAUUUGUUUUCUGUUAAGUUAACAUAUCAAAACAUGUAUAUUACGAUUGUAUUAGGAAAUAAAAUUGUAAGAUGUGUAAUUAUGUUUCAAGAUUCAUAGUAGACAAAACUGUUCAUAUAUUUGACUUAAGGCCUGGUGUAACCGCAACGGGUUAUGGUUGCGGUUGGACGGAUGGUUGCGGUUUUACGCGAUUUUCAGGAACUUUAUACGAUUGGUACUACGGUUAGAACUUGG
Molecule: long non-coding RNA, 1599 nt
Filed under: Brassica napus (rape)
Lineage: Eukaryota; Viridiplantae; Streptophyta; Magnoliopsida; Brassicales; Brassicaceae
Description: long non-coding RNA (BNAP_LNC005965)
Source: RNAcentral